This is a long non-coding RNA of Aethalodelphis obliquidens (Pacific white-sided dolphin), 466 nucleotides long. RefSeq lists it as uncharacterized. Lineage: Eukaryota; Metazoa; Chordata; Mammalia; Artiodactyla; Delphinidae. The transcript has 3 exons. The record is from RefSeq and is a predicted model, not a curated record.
GGAAACAUCUCAGGGAGUCAGAAUAAGCGAGGCCGAUUCAGUGGACUCUGUGGCCUCUGGAACAGCUGGUCGGGAUGCCCAAGCCUGCUCUCUCAGCCACGGCCAAGGGACUUGUUUUGACCAGCGAAAUGUAAGCAUGAGUACCAUAUACCAGUUCCAGAUGCCUCUGAACCUGCACUGACUGCCUUGCUCAUCUCUAAAUGGACGAGGAUCUCGCCCUGUCUCGCAUCACGCCCAGCAUCUGCCCACAGGGAACUGCAGGCCCAGGUCAAGUCCCAAGAAAGUGCUCACGACUGCAGCUCCCCAGCCCUGCAGCUUCUCCAAGGAAUCCAAUGGCCCUGGAUGAGGGUUCCAGAGCUCAGGCUGCAGUGGGGACCCUGAGCUGCUGCUGAGCCCAGAAAAUUACCACCAGCAUUAAAUCUAUCCUCAGUUAACCCAACGCCUUUAAUAAUAAAAAAGAUUUUGC